UACGUAGGGUGCAAGCGUUGUCCGGAAUUAUUGGGCGUAAAGAGCUCGUAGGCGGCUUGUCGCGUCGUCCGUGAAAACCUGCAGCUCAACUGCAGGCUUGCGGUCGAUACGGGCAGGCUGGAGUUCGGUAGGGGAGACUGGAAUUCCUGGUGUAGCGGUGAAAUGCGCAGAUAUCAGGAGGAACACCGGUGGCGAAGGCGGCAUCCUGGACCAAUACUGACGCUGAGGAGCGAAAGCCAGGGGAGCAAACGGG
Molecule: ribosomal RNA, 253 nt
Filed under: uncultured bacterium
Lineage: Bacteria
Description: partial 16S ribosomal RNA
Rfam family: Bacterial small subunit ribosomal RNA
Source: RNAcentral